Molecule: ribosomal RNA, 253 nt
Filed under: uncultured bacterium
Lineage: Bacteria
Description: partial 16S ribosomal RNA
Rfam family: Bacterial small subunit ribosomal RNA
Source: RNAcentral
UACAGAGGUCUCAAGCGUUGUUCGGAUUCAUUGGGCGUAAAGGGUGCGUAGGCGGCGCGGUAAGUCGGGUGUGAAAUCUCGGAGCUUAACUCCGAAACUGCAUUCGAUACUGCGGUGCUUGAGGACUGGAGAGGAGACUGGAAUUCAUGGUGUAGCAGUGAAAUGCGUAGAGAUCGUAAGGAAGACCAGUGGCGAAGGCGGGUCUCUGGACAGUUCCUGACACUGAGGCACGAAGGCCAGGGGAGCAAACGGG